UUAGGGGGGAGGAAAAGAAACUAACAAGGAUUCCCCUAGUAACGGCGAGUGAAGCGGGAAGAGCUCAAAUUUGAAAUCUGGUAGCCUUCGGCUGCCCGAGUUGUAAUCUAGAGAAGUGUUUUCCGUGCCGGCCCAUGUACAAGUCCCUUGGAACAGGGCGUCAUAGAGGGUGAGAAUCCCGUCCUUGACAUGGACCCCCGGUGCUUUGUGAUACACUUUCAACGAGUCGAGUUGUUUGGGAAUGCAGCUCAAAAUGGGUGGUGAAUUCCAUCUAAAGCUAAAUAUUGGCGAGAGACCGAUAGCGAACAAGUACCGUGAGGGAAAGAUGAAAAGCACUUUGGAAAGAGAGUUAAACAGUACGUGAAAUUGUUGAAAGGGAAACGAUUGAAGUCAGUCAUGCUCUUUGGAUUCAGCCGUUCUGCGGUGUAUUUCCAUUGAGUGGGGUCAACAUCAGUUUUGAUCGCUGGAUAAAGGCACUAGGAAGGUAGCACUCUCGGGUGAACUUAUAGCCUAGCGUCAUAUACAGUGAUUGGGACUGAGGAACGCAGCAUGCCUUUAUGGCCGGGAUUCGUCCACGUACAUGCUUAGGAUGUGACAUAAU
Molecule: ribosomal RNA, 601 nt
Filed under: Naganishia uzbekistanensis
Lineage: Eukaryota; Fungi; Basidiomycota; Tremellomycetes; Filobasidiales; Filobasidiaceae
Description: eukaryotic LSU rRNA
Rfam family: Eukaryotic large subunit ribosomal RNA
Source: RNAcentral